Long non-coding RNA from Sapajus apella (tufted capuchin), 90 nucleotides. RefSeq lists it as uncharacterized. The record is from RefSeq and is a predicted model, not a curated record. The transcript is spliced from 3 exons. Lineage: Eukaryota; Metazoa; Chordata; Mammalia; Primates; Cebidae.
UAUACAAUCAUGAACUCCUGGCCUCAAGAGGUCCUCCUGCCUCAGCCUCCCAAACUGCUGAAAUUAUUGGCAGGAGCCAUUGUGCCCAAC